UUAAUAUGAUGAUUCUGAGAAUGGUUUCGCAAACUCUACUGACAUUUCUGAUGUCACGUUUCUCUUGGCUAUCUGAUUAA
Molecule: small nucleolar RNA, 80 nt
Organism: Esox lucius (northern pike)
Lineage: Eukaryota; Metazoa; Chordata; Actinopteri; Esociformes; Esocidae
Product: small nucleolar RNA SNORD53/SNORD92
Source: Ensembl